RNAcentral lists this long non-coding RNA (1775 nucleotides) under Equus asinus (donkey). RNAcentral's name for it is "lncRNA (ENSEASG00005030373.1)". Lineage: Eukaryota; Metazoa; Chordata; Mammalia; Perissodactyla; Equidae. The record is from RNAcentral.
CACUUACUCUGGGGGAAGCCAGCCGCCAUGUUGUGAGGAGACCCAAGCAGCCCUUGGAGAAGCUGCAAGGUGAGGAGCCGAGUCCGCCUGCCAACCAUCAGCACCAGCUUGCUAACUAUGAUAUGUCCUGCUUCAUGAUCGUGAGAACCAAAAUAAAUUCACAAUUCCUCUGUUAGUCACAAUACCAGGAUUUCUGAGUGCCCAUCCUAGUGACAGUGAGAGGGCCGUCUUUUCGCUUCCUAAGGUAAGUCCAGGGAUCCCAGAGUGUCUACCAGUCCAAAGGAGGCCAUCCUGGUUAGUUGUUCCUCGUGAAAGAGGAAACCAGAAAAACUGGUUUAGCCACUGAAGGGUGCCCAGUUCUCAACCGCACAGGCUUCCCCACACCAGAAAUUCCAGCAGUUUCUCAGAGAAUAUCUGAGGAAAUGAAAUAUUGUCUUCGCAAAACACCCAGGGACCCAUCCUGAAGGAACAACCGAAGGAUGUCCCAACUUGUUAGAACAAAGAAUUCCAGGCUGUUGGUAUAGGCUGUCCUCCUGGGAUGCUGAGUCAGGUCGCAUGCUUCCUGGGAAAGAAAGGGAGAUUCAGGUUGUGCCGAUAGUGUGGGGACUUCUCCUGGCCCGUCUGGGCUUGCCAUUCCCCCCGGCCUCUGAGGCUUUUGUGAUUCUUCCUCCCUCUUCUGCCUUCUAAGUCUCCACGUGCUCUUCCCUCCAUCAUCUCAGCUUCUUUCCACCAUACCUCACUGCCCAAGGUGCUCAGAAACCAAGGCCUUUUCCCCCAGGAUCCCCUUCCAUAUAGUCCCACUCUUUUCUCUCAACGAUUCCUCUUUCAGGAAAUUCCUGAGGGGCUUGACUAUAGCACCGUGGGGACCUCUGUUUCAGAGAUGGUGUGGGGGUGAGGGCAGGGACCCUCACCCUAACUCACUUCCCACCUCCCAUGACAGGAGGAAGGUUUGCUUCCACUGUCCUGGACCCAGCAUUCAAGGACGGGCCUAGGAGCCAGGGCAGGACCCCAGUGGGACUGAUGUGCCCUCCAGUGGCCCCACGCCACAACCGCAUCACCACUCUCAUGCCCCAGUGCAGACCUCACUGCCACAAUGGCCCUCAGGACCCUGCCUGCCCACCUCCAUCCCUGGGCUGGCUGCCUCUACCCUUGAGCGUAGGUUACAGCUGAGGAGGGAAGCGAGGUCACUUGGGAGCUCUUUGUCUCUUGCACUGAGUUUGUAGUUAUUCCCACUACAUUCCGGAGAACUUUUUUUUUUUUUUUUAAAGAUUUUAUUUUUUUCCUUUUCCUCCCCAAAGCCCCUCUGGUACAUAGUUGUAUAUUCUUCGUUGUGGGUCCUUCUAGUUGUGGUAUGUGGGACGCUGCCUCAGCGUGGUUUGAUGAGCAGUGCCAUGUCCGCGCCCAGGAUUCGAACCAACGAAACACUGGGCCGCCUGCAGCGGAGCGCGCGAACUUAACCACUUGGCCACGGGGCCAGCCCCCAUUCCGGAGAACUUUUAAGACCCCUGGGAAGGGCUGGGGAGGUGCCUUUUACGCUCCAGGCUCUGUGAGCUUCUAGGAAGGCCAGAGAAAUGGUCAGGCCUGGGGUGGCAUCUCAGCCAUCCUUGGGCCUCGAGGGAUGGAGGCACGGCCUUCCCGCACAGCCAGAACGGCCCCAGAAGAGGAGUCUGCUUUCUCCCCUGGGAAAUGGGAAUAAUAAGAGCAUAAAAGGAGGUAAAACCUUUUAUUCAGCCUUUGAAAGGUGAAUUUUCCCGGAGGAGUGGGCACACUGGUAG